Molecule: long non-coding RNA, 515 nt
Organism: Carassius gibelio (silver crucian carp)
Lineage: Eukaryota; Metazoa; Chordata; Actinopteri; Cypriniformes; Cyprinidae
Exons: 4
Source: RefSeq, a predicted model, not a curated record
CAAAAACCGAAGCAUGGUCAAGCGCCCCUAGCGUCACUUUUAUGACGCCAAAUGUGCCUCUCGGCGUCGACUAUCGAAGCACUACGACCUUCAUUGCUUUCAGUGGGAAACUUUUGGCGUCAGAAUUCGACACGAGGACAGGAGAUGUUUAUCGCUAUGAAAUCACGUUCAAGAAGUCUCAUUCAGCACACAUCGCGCGAUACUUGCUAUCAGUUCCACAGUUUGGCUGAAAAGACGUAAAGGCAGUCAGCCCAGUGGUGUUUCUGGAGAGGGAUUCCUUCAGAAAUGGAGAAGACAGAAAGCUGCGGAGGCAGAUAUUUGCAGCAGUCUAAAAUAUCGAGCUCAACAGCUCACUCAAGAGCCAACCCUCACAAACCUUCCUAAAACCUAAAAGAGCUAUUACUGAGUCUCAGCGAAUCUUGCCAUGAUCAGCUCUUCCCAGAAGAGAAGGAAGACCAAGGAUAUGUUUUGCUCAGCACGAGGAAUGAAGACGGCCAUCUUGAGCUCAAACAAAC